AUGGAGGUGGCUUUGAAAAAUGUACUCCCCUCGAUGGCUCACCAAUGGUGCAAAUGGCAUGUGUUGAAGAAGGUGAAGGAAACUCUUGGGCCGAUGUACACGAAGCAGACAGAUUUCCGUGACGAGUUCCACAAGGUUGUUAACCACAUGCUUACAAUUGAUGAGUUUGAGCAAGCCUGGAAGAUGUUGAUAGAGAAGUACAACCUAGAAAGCCACAGCUACCUUUCUCAAGUGUAUGAGGUUAGGCACAAAUGGGCGAAGCCAUUUUUCAAGGAUGUGUUCUGUGCUAAGAUGACAAGCACGCAGCAAAGUGAGAGUGCUAACAGCAUGCUGAAGUCAUAUGUCCCCCCCCCGGUUGCCCCAUGCAUAUGUUUGUGA
This 378-nucleotide ribosomal RNA is filed under the name Triticum aestivum (bread wheat). Its description in RNAcentral is "partial small subunit ribosomal RNA". Lineage: Eukaryota; Viridiplantae; Streptophyta; Magnoliopsida; Poales; Poaceae. The record is from RNAcentral.